CGACUCUGGUUCUCUUCAUUACGCACAAGCCUUUCGCCUUUUACUAAAGACUUCCGUGGAGGAGGAACACUUACGAGUUCAACAUAUUUUUGGAAGGGCUUUGCUUCUGGCAGAGCC
RNAcentral lists this small nuclear RNA (117 nucleotides) under Salmo trutta (river trout). RNAcentral describes it as "U5 spliceosomal RNA (ENSSTUG00000027595.1)". It matches the Rfam family "U5 spliceosomal RNA". From Rfam's summary of the family: U5 RNA is a component of both types of known spliceosome. Lineage: Eukaryota; Metazoa; Chordata; Actinopteri; Salmoniformes; Salmonidae. The record is from Rfam by way of RNAcentral.